RNAcentral lists this ribosomal RNA (490 nucleotides) under uncultured bacterium. RNAcentral's name for it is "partial 16S ribosomal RNA". It matches the Rfam family "Bacterial small subunit ribosomal RNA", at positions 30 to 507 of the family's 1533-position model. The record is from RNAcentral.
AUUGAACGCUGGCGGCAGGCCUAACACAUGCCAGUCGAACGGUAACAGGAAGACGCUUGCUUCUUUGCUGACGAGUGGCGGACGGGUGAGUAAUGUCUGGGAAACUGCCUGAUGGAGGGGGAUAACUACUGGAAACGGUAGCUAAUACCGCAUAACGUCGCAAGACCAAAGAGGGGGACCUUCGGGCCUCUUGCCAUCGGAUGUGCCCAGAUGGGAUUAGCUAGUAGGUGGGGUAACGGCUCACCUAGGCGACGAUCCCUAGCUGGUCUGAGAGGAUGACCAGCCACACUGGAACUGAGACACGGUCCAGACUCCUACGGGAGGCAGCAGUGGGGAAUAUUGCACAAUGGGCGCAAGCCUGAUGCAGCCAUGCCGCGUGUAUGAAGAAGGCCUUCGGGUUGUAAAGUACUUUCAGCGGGGAGGAAGGGAGUAAAGUUAAUACCUUUGCUCAUUGACGUUACCCGCAGAAGAAGCACCGGCUAACUCCGUG